RNAcentral lists this transfer RNA (72 nucleotides) under Camelus bactrianus (Bactrian camel). It matches the Rfam family "tRNA". Rfam says of the family: Transfer RNA (tRNA) molecules are approximately 80 nucleotides in length. The record is from Rfam by way of RNAcentral. RNAcentral also lists the same sequence under 2 other names. Lineage: Eukaryota; Metazoa; Chordata; Mammalia; Artiodactyla; Camelidae.
UGGGGUAUAGCUCAGUGGUAGAGUGUCUGCUUAGCAAGCACAAGGUCCUGGGUUCAAUCUCUGGUACCUCCA